UAGUCUUUGUACAUCAACAAUACUGAUUACAAAAUAAACUAGUGUUGAAAGUUGUCAACAAUGCAGCAGCAAGCAAAUGUCCAUUGUGUAUUUUUGGUCAUUAAACUUUUGUAACAUGUGACUUUUGUUGGUUUGAUUGUAACUUUUUGUUUUGCUAAGGAUUAGUCAAGUACUUAGCUGAUUUAGUAGCUUUUUAGGUUAUCAUUAAGCUGAUUUUACCGCCAGUCGCCGGUGCCAGUGUCGCCGUAUAUGGUGGUCGGGAAACUGAAAAGUUUCUUCUUUUCUCCGGCACAACCUCUCAGCCCUAUGCACCCUCCGGCGACGGCGAUAAGAGCUUCAGCUUCAUCUUCAGCUUCUGUUCUUCACCUUCUUCUCCUUCUUCAUCCAGGGCUGCUGUUUUGUUUCGCUCAAAUCUAUGGCUGCUUUCUCCUCUUUCUCUCUUUUUUGUUAUGCAACGACUGGAAGGAUUGUUGCAAUUGUGAGAGCCUCACCACGACUCUCUUCUUCUCUCACCUCCAUCAAUUUUCUAACACCAAAUCACCCACGCAGGGAUGGAAAUGGCUCAACUCAUAUGUGGAGGUUGUCGAACAUUGCGCCUUCUUUCAGUCAGAUGUUUUUCACUAUUAGUUUCAUUUUCUUUUUUUCCGCUUGUAAUUUCAGGAAUUUGGAAUGUUAUGGAUUUUACUAUCAUCUGUUUCAUAUUGAAUUUUCAAACCAACAUUAUCCAUUACAACUAGCACUUUGGAAAAAUCAUCUUUAUUAUGGCCCUUUUCAAUGAUUGCAGAUAUGCAGAGCCAGCUUAUCUGUAGUGGGUGUAGGAGCAUUCUUCUUUAUCCUAGAGGUGCUACCAGUGUUUGCUGUGCAUUAUGCAAUACAAUUACUCCCCCUGAGAUAAAGAAGCUCCAAGAUUAACUGAGAGUGGUUUCCAAUUCUCGGUGUGCAUCAUGAAACUCAUGGCCCUUUUGCCUCUUUUCUGGUUGUCUGUCACCUAAAAUUACUUCUUAUCUUUGUAAUUUACAGUUGAUGGAUACAAAUGCUCAGCUUUGGUAUAUUAUCAGAGAGUAUAUCUCCAAUUCAGAGGUAUAUUUGAUGAGAUAAUUAUUGUGUUCUGCUUGGAACUUGUUUGUUAGAGCUAUUGUGUUUUACUGUUGUUAAGUUCUUGAAGGAGAAAUUGGCAUGAAUUUAUUGUAAAUUUUUAUUUGUUAUUGGUUUAUUAGUAUAUAUUAUCCUCUUAAAUGUGAA
Molecule: RNA transcript, 1242 nt
Organism: Gossypium raimondii (Peruvian cotton)
Lineage: Eukaryota; Viridiplantae; Streptophyta; Magnoliopsida; Malvales; Malvaceae
Exons: 6
Source: RefSeq, a predicted model, not a curated record